This 149-nucleotide unclassified non-coding RNA is filed under the name uncultured Hyaloscyphaceae. RNAcentral's name for it is "sequence contains ITS2". The record is from RNAcentral. Lineage: Eukaryota; Fungi; Ascomycota; Leotiomycetes; Helotiales.
CAACCCUCAAGCUAAGCUUGGUCUUGGGCACUGCCGGUAGCGGCUUGCCUUAAAACUAGUGGCGGUGCCAUUCGAGCUCUACGCGUAGUAAUUUAUAUCCUCGCGAUUGAGACUUGGUGGAUGCUUGCCAGCAACCCUUCAAUUUUUAU